This 245-nucleotide ribosomal RNA is filed under the name uncultured bacterium. RNAcentral describes it as "partial 16S ribosomal RNA". It matches the Rfam family "Bacterial small subunit ribosomal RNA", at positions 532 to 776 of the family's 1533-position model. The record is from RNAcentral.
GUGCGAACGUUAUUCGGAAUCACUGGGCUUAAAGGGCGCGUAGGCGGGCUCGCAGGUCAGGGGUGAAAGCCCACGGCUCAACCGUGGAAGUGCCUUUGAUACCGUGAGUCUCGAGGGAGGUAGGGGCGUGCGGAACUUCCGGUGGAGCGGUGAAAUGCGUAGAUAUCGGAAGGAACAUCGGUGGCGAAAGCGGCGCGUUGGACCUCUUCUGACGCUGAGGCGCGAAAGCCAGGGGAGCAAACGGG